Molecule: small RNA, 650 nt
Filed under: Oryza sativa Japonica Group (Japanese rice)
Lineage: Eukaryota; Viridiplantae; Streptophyta; Magnoliopsida; Poales; Poaceae
Description: sRNA Os01g0891800
Source: RNAcentral
CCAACGGUGCACCACAAAGCCUUCGGUUGCCAGCAAAGAUUGAAGCUGUAAAAUUCUCGAAACAAGAUGGAACAAGCCCUGAAAACAAAUUUUCUGCAACACUGAACGAAACCGAGUGAGCGAGAGAACAGAAUUGCCAUGGAAUUUCACCAUUGAGUUUGUUGUGCCGAAGGUUCAGUGUUUUCAAUUUCAGGUAUGCCAUGUCUGUGAUGCUCACUGGAAUUGGACCUGAAAAGCUGUUGUACGAGAGAUCCAGGGAACUUAAUUGGAAGCCGCCAUGAGAUGUCGGAAGGGAUGGGUCCUGAAAAACUGUUACCUGACAAAUUCAAGUCUUCUAUCAUACUGCAGCCCUGAAGACCUUCAGGAAAUUGGCCUUGAAGUCCCAGACUGACGAGAUGUAAAGAACGAACCGUGCUAUCACUGGGAUUCCAGCAGUUUACUCCAGUAAAGCUGCAUAUGAAACCGUUGAAUCCAUUGCCAGAAAAAUUCCAAGUGGAUUCGAGUUCACCACGGGGAUCAACCAGUGAUUUCUGCAGAGUCCUUAGGCAUUCGGUGUCAUCAGAAGCUACGAACAACAUUAAGCUGCUUAGCAGCAGCAGACUAAGGACGAACUUGAUAUCAUCAGACAUCACAGGCGUGUUAUAAAACGA